Molecule: non-coding RNA, 151 nt
Organism: Xyrichtys novacula (pearly razorfish)
Lineage: Eukaryota; Metazoa; Chordata; Actinopteri; Labriformes; Labridae
Source: the annotation of a GenBank genome assembly
UUUCUCUCUCUCUCUCUCUCUCUCUCUCUCUCUUUCUCUGGGCUUUUUUUAGUGUUUUGCAGGGCUGAUGUCAUAGUGCCUAUUUUCUUUUAGCAAUGCAGAACCAACAAGAUGGGGGAGAGAGAGAAAGAGAGAGGGAGAGAGAGAGAAA